Molecule: long non-coding RNA, 371 nt
Organism: Hibiscus syriacus
Lineage: Eukaryota; Viridiplantae; Streptophyta; Magnoliopsida; Malvales; Malvaceae
Exons: 2
Source: RefSeq, a predicted model, not a curated record
AACCCUUUUUCCUUUUUAAUAUUCUCAUAGGUUUUGAUGGAUUUUUUUUUUUUUGGGUUAUUCUCUUUUUUUUUUCAUGUCGAUUGUUCUUGUUCCAUGCCGUGAAUCACGAGACCCUUGUAACUCCAAAGAGCUCCUAUGACUCUCAGCUUCAAUGGUAGUAUGAUUGGCAGCUUCAAUGAUGGCAUGAUUGACGGUAUCUUAUUCACACAGAUGGGAACAACUCCUGGGCUUAAACCAAGUUACUUAUAAUUAUUUUAGGUUGGAUUUUUGUUGGGUUUCAUUUGUUGAGUCUGAAUCUUGAGCUUGCAAUUAAUUUGAUUUGUAAUUGGGCUUCAAAGAUGUAAAUGGACUUUAGACACUUAAAUUUG